AUUGAACGCUGGCGGCAGGCUUAACACAUGCAAGUCGAGCGGAGCGAGGGUGCUUGCACCUUAGCUUAGCGGCGGACGGGUGAGUAAUGCUUAGGAAUCUGCCUAUUAGUGGGGGACAACAUUCCGAAAGGAAUGCUAAUACCGCAUACGUCCUACGGGAGAAAGCAGGGGAUCUUCGGACCUUGCGCUAAUAGAUGAGCCUAAGUCGGAUUAGCUAGUUGGUGGGGUAAAGGCCUACCAAGGCGACGAUCUGUGGCGGGUCUGAGAGGAUGAUCCGCCACACUGGGACUGAGACACGGCCCAGACUCCUACGGGAGGCAGCAGUGGGGAAUAUUGGACAAUGGGGGGAACCCUGAUCCAGCCAUGCCGCGUGUGUGAAGAAGGCCUUAUGGUUGUAAAGCACUUUAAGCGAGGAGGAGGCUACUUUAGUUAAUACCUAGAGAUAGUGGACGUUACUCGCAGAAUAAGCACCGGCUAACUCUGUGCCAGCCGCCGCGGUAA
Molecule: ribosomal RNA, 501 nt
Filed under: uncultured bacterium
Lineage: Bacteria
Description: partial 16S ribosomal RNA
Rfam family: Bacterial small subunit ribosomal RNA
Source: RNAcentral